CAAAAAUCCAGAUUAAAGAUUGAUCCUGAAAAAUAUGGAAGAAUACUGGGGAUUGCAAAUGAAAGUCACCACUGGAUGCUAGUGGUUAUGUAUCCCAUGGAUAAAAAAACAGUCUUCCUUGACCCGUUGGGAGAAUCCCCAGAAAAAAUAAAGAAGUGCUUGGUAGCAACAA
This is a long non-coding RNA of Fundulus heteroclitus (mummichog), 172 nucleotides long. RefSeq lists it as uncharacterized. NCBI's taxonomy places the organism in Eukaryota, Metazoa, Chordata, Actinopteri, Cyprinodontiformes, Fundulidae. The record is from RefSeq and is a predicted model, not a curated record. The transcript is spliced from 3 exons.